Molecule: ribosomal RNA, 770 nt
Filed under: uncultured bacterium
Lineage: Bacteria
Description: bacterial SSU rRNA
Rfam family: Bacterial small subunit ribosomal RNA
Source: RNAcentral
AGAGUUUGAUCCUGGCUCAGAGCGAACGCUGGCGGCAUGCCUAACACAUGCAAGUCGCACGGUUCGGGGGUUUCGGCUCUCGGGCAGUGGCGGACGGGUGAGGAACGCGUAGGGAUCUAUCCAUGGGUGGGGGACAACCGCGGGAAACUGCGGCUAAUACCGCAUGACGAAUAUGCCUUGGCGGGCAUGUUCCAAAGCUUGCAAGAGCGCCUGUGGCGGAGCCUGCGUCCGAUUAGCUUGUUGGUGGGGUAACGGCUUACCAAGGCAACGAUCGGUAGCUGGUCUGAGAGGAUGAUCAGCCACACUGGGACUGAGACACGGCCCAGACUCCUACGGGAGGCAGCAGUGGGGAAUAUUGGACAAUGGGCGCAAGCCUGAUCCAGCAAUGCCGCGUGGGUGAAGAAGGUCUUCGGAUUGUAAAGCCCUUUCGGCGGGGACGAUGAUGACGGUACCCGCAGAAGAAGCCCCGGCUAACUUCGUGCCAGCAGCCGCGGUAAUACGAAGGGGGCUAGCGUUGCUCGGAAUGACUGGGCGUAAAGGGCGCGUAGGCGGAUCGGAUAGUCAGGCGUGAAAUUCCUGGGCUCAACCUGGGGGCUGCGCUUGAUACGUCUGGUCUGGAGUGGGGAAGAGGGUCGUGGAAUUCCCAGUGUAGAGGUGAAAUUCGUAGAUAUUGGGAAGAACACCGGUGGCGAAGGCGGCGACCUGGUCCUUGACUGACGCUGAGGCGCGAAAGCGUGGGGAGCAAACAGGAUUAGAUACCCCUGUAGUCC